RNAcentral lists this long non-coding RNA (208 nucleotides) under Elaeis guineensis (African oil palm). Its description in RNAcentral is "long non-coding RNA (EGUI_LNC004960)". The record is from RNAcentral. Lineage: Eukaryota; Viridiplantae; Streptophyta; Magnoliopsida; Arecales; Arecaceae.
CUUCUCCAAUAGCUCAAGCUAAUAUAAUAUACCAUUUUUAAUUUCAGUAAAUCAUAAGAGUAUCAUAAGAUAGGAAAUUCAAAUGUUUGAGAUUCAAAUAUGAGAUAUUGCAUAACAUUCAAAAAAACUAACAUUCAAAUAUGAGUUUGGUGGAAGGUUAUAAAGUUCUAAAAUAGAGUGUAAGAACCCUAAAAAAUCAAUAGAGGCA